RNAcentral lists this transfer RNA (24 nucleotides) under Festuca pratensis. Lineage: Eukaryota; Viridiplantae; Streptophyta; Magnoliopsida; Poales; Poaceae. The record is from RNAcentral. RNAcentral also lists the same sequence under 16 other names.
CAAGAAAAGGUCAGGAUAGCUCAG